RNAcentral lists this unclassified non-coding RNA (620 nucleotides) under Hevea brasiliensis (rubber tree). The record is from RNAcentral. Lineage: Eukaryota; Viridiplantae; Streptophyta; Magnoliopsida; Malpighiales; Euphorbiaceae.
GGAAUCCAAUGGCAGCUACAAUCCUGUAAUUAAAGAACGUCAAUGUUAAUCCAUACCUUUUCAUAUAAUUAAAAUAAUAAUAGUGGUAUUUCAUAUGUAGAAGGUGGGAUAUUAAUUAUUGACAAUGGUUACUCAAGAAUUGUACUCUAUUACUACUUGUACCUUAAAUUAGUAACACAAAUGAUAUUAAAAACAAUAUCAUCAAUAACAAUAUCUUUUUUAUAUAUAUUAAAAAUAAAUUCAAACUCGUUUUCUACUAGGUUCGAGUCCCACUGCUUCAAUCCCCUACUAAAAAAAAUUCAGACUCCAUACUAAAAUAAAUCUUCAAUUGUUGGCCAGUGUACUCUCAUAUCAGGUCAACCCCAGCAAUAGGUCCAAGCUAAAUGAGUGUAUUCAAAUUGCAGUACUUUGGGACCAAACUGGGUGAAUCUCUACCUGAUUAAUUAGGAUUGAAGAACUGCAGCGGAACUUAUCUCCACAUUAUUUAACGACCAAUGGUGUUUUUGCAAAUUGCAACAGAAGCCUCUCUUGAGGAAAAAAAAUUUUGGUAUAUUUGAAAUUUUAAAAGAAAAGAAGUUGGCAAGGGUAUGCAGUCGAUCGUUUAAUUACUAGCUCCUAUC